This 24-nucleotide non-coding RNA is filed under the name Arabidopsis thaliana (thale cress). Lineage: Eukaryota; Viridiplantae; Streptophyta; Magnoliopsida; Brassicales; Brassicaceae. The record is from RNAcentral.
AGAAGGGAAAGGGAAGCUUCAAGA